Molecule: long non-coding RNA, 655 nt
Organism: Crocodylus porosus (Australian saltwater crocodile)
Lineage: Eukaryota; Metazoa; Chordata; Crocodylia; Crocodylidae
Source: Ensembl
UUCAUUUACUCUGGCCUAAGGGUGCUGCCAGGCUUGACUGAGGAUCAGAGUCCGCUCCGCAGACCACGGCAGGGCAGCCCACGUGUAGACGCCCCGCCUCAAUGCAGCUCCCGAGCAGGCUCCCACGUGCCGAGUGGAACAGUCCACUUCUUCCCCCCUCCCCCCCAUCGGUUAGACGUCGCGUCCUAUCGCGCCAGCGCAGUAAGUCCCUCCCCCCCCCCGGGUGGUACUUUCCAAGCCUUUAAAAGCCACCGACUAAAACCUAGUCUUUCUUUUCCGUUGGCAGCGCGUGAGGCGUGUGAUUCUCAGCGAGGCUUGCGUCGGCGGCCGGGUAGCUCCCACAGAGCUAAGGCGGGUAGUGGGGAUCUCGCUGCUGCGCCGCUGCGUUGCAGGUCGAUGGCCGCCGCCGUACGGACCGGAGCCCAACGGCUGCCGGGACAUCGCCAUGCAGCGCCUGGCGUGCAGGCCGCGACGGAUGUGCGCGUGCGCGUGCGCGGCCCGGCUGAGUCAGGGCAGAACAGUGACUUGAGCUGCAAGCUUUUUCCAGGGCAUUUGAGGUGAUCUCCAAGAGAGAGCAGCGCUCUGCCAGUGAAAAUCCUCAGAGGUGUUCAGGCUCUUCAUCUGAGAUGGAAGAAUUCCCUGAGUAUCAAUCCAA